Molecule: ribosomal RNA, 253 nt
Filed under: uncultured bacterium
Lineage: Bacteria
Description: partial 16S ribosomal RNA
Rfam family: Bacterial small subunit ribosomal RNA
Source: RNAcentral
GACGAACCGUGCGAACGUUGUUCGGAAUCACUGGGCUUAAAGGGCGCGUAGGCGGGCAUCAAAGCCAAGGGUGAAAGCCCCCGGCUCAACCGGGGAAGGGCCUUUGGAACUGGAUGCCUCGAGGGGUGCAGGGGCGUGCGGAACUCAGGGUGGAGCGGUGAAAUGCGUAGAUAUUGGGAGGAACACCGGUGGCGAAGGCGGCUCACUGGACCGGUUCUGACGCUGAGGCGCGAAAGCGUGGGGAGCAAACGGG